GUAAGAGUUGGCUUAAUAGGCUUGGGGGUACUACUGUAUACAAUAAUGAUUCUCGGGUCAGUCGGAAGCUAACAAAAGAUAUUAUUAAUGUCCGGCCAACCCGACACAAGUACCGUCAUAGCAGAAGAGCACUCACUACUGGUAGGAUUUGGGAGUGCAACAGAAAAAUGAAGCUCAAAUAUGGCGGCCACAAUACUAAUACAAGUAGUAGCAUCCACACGACGCACAGCGGUUUGAAUGCUGUAUCCUUAUUAUGCUACUAUUACUCUUCCAACAGCUGGAAAGCCGCCGUCAGCAGAAGUAGGAUUACUUUUACAACAAAUACCCGUGCUGCUGGCGGUGGUGCGCCGUCAGACUCAAAAUCAGGCUGCAGAAGAUGGAACAGGAGCCCUUCUCUACUGAUUUUGUGUUACAGUUACAGGCCCAAAUUCAGCUCUUCUUCUACUAAUGCUUCUACUAAUCGCACACGCUAUAAUAGUCCGUCUAAGUUUAAUUGGAGCAUCCCGGAUGCUUACAAAGACAGUGGCGAUGGUCCCCAUCAUACUGAUCGGCUCACUGAUAGCGACGAGGAAUUGGAUGACGCCGAUUGCGGCGGCGGCGACGUUGACACUGAGAUUCAAAAAACUGGCUACAACCGUCGGAGGAUCCAAUCCAGGGUUUCCGUUGACGCCAGCCUCCAAUCCGUCUGGAACGUCUUGACCGACUAUGAGAAAUUGGCCGACUUUAUACCGGGUCUUGCAGUCAGCCAGCUGCUCCAGAAGACGGACAAUUUUGCCCGUCUCUUUCAGAUUGGGCAGCAAAACCUGGCAUUUGGACUAAAAUUCAAAGCCAAAGGUGUCAUUGACUGUUAUGAGAAAGAAAUUCAGAAUUUACCCUUCGGUAAAAGGCGCGAUAUUGAGUUUGAGAUGAUUGAAGGUGACUUCCAACUCUUCCAAGGAAAGUGGUGCGUUGAGCAGAUCAGUACAGGAGACUAUGAUAUAGCCGAUUCUAUUAAAGGCCAAGAAUUUCAUACUAAUCUUUCUUAUAUUGUGGAUGUGGAGCCUAAAGUUUGGUUGCCCGUGCACCUUGUUCAAGGCAGACUCUGUCGGGAGAUAAAAAUGAAUCUCUUGUGUAUAAAAGAAGCAGCAGAGAGAGCAAUUCAGAACAAAGUCUCUGGUUAUGAAUGACUUACCCAUUACUUUGACUUAUGAUUUCAAGCGUGUUGUGUCAGGCAAUCUGGAUGUUGACGGUAGAUUCCACUCGUCAGCCCUACUUCUCCACAGCCCUUCGAAGAUCAAUCCUCAAACACCAAAUGGGGCUGUUGCUCACCUUUUCCAGAUGUUAUGUGGGACUCACUUGGAUGUGACUGAUCUUCUUCGGAUCACCAAAUAGGGCUGUUGCUUACCCUUUCCAGAUGUUAUAUGGGUAUCACUUGGAUUUGACUGAUUUUUUUUUUUUAUGGCUGGCAUCCCAAAGGCUCAAAUUAUAGCGUAAGAAUCCUCGUGGUACUAUCUUGAGAGGGACCACCAGUUGGCAGAGAAAUCCUGAAAAUGUGUCAAAACGGCUGUCUGCUCGGAGAAGGGCAAGGCGGGAAGUGGGUGUACCGGUUUCUCUAAAUACAGUAGUGAUGGUUGUUCAGUUGGACAUGUGGCAGUUUUGUUGAUCAGCCACCAGCAAGAAUUUUGUUGCUUUGGUUUUGAGUCCACUGACGUAUGAGCUCCUUUAGAACGAUAAUAUUGAUGGAAUAAUAGGACGUGAUGGAGAUUUGAGCUCCUAUCCUCUUCUUGAAGGAGCUCUAGAUGUUAGUAUAGUUUUGCAUGAUUCGGAAAAGCUUCCAUAUGAAGCAGAAGAAAUAAGAGAUGCCAGGAGCUUCUUCACAAUGUUAUGUGGAUGGACAAAUUUUUGUUGUGAACUCCCAGUAGUGGAACCCAGAGAGUGGAAGAGUGGAUCAAUAUGCAUCCAAGUCCAAGCACAUUGUGUGCUUUUGUAGAGGUAGGACAAUGGAGGUCAUUCUCAGUUACACAAAAGCUAUAUUAAUUCUCAUGUUUAAACUUUUGAUCUAGAGGAAUAAUUAAGCGCAAGGGUAGGACGGGGUGUUUGAGUGGUUGUAGAUUCUCUUUCUGUUUCAGGUAUAAAGAGAAUGGCCUGUUAAAAACUGAGAUAAAGGUUAAGGAAUGGAGGCCUUUUGUUAAGAUAGCUUGUCUAUUUGUCACCAUGAGAGGAGUCGCUUUGCAGACUUCCUUGGUACGGUUGAGAAUCCCAUUGUCAAAGAUCCAGAGCUUGCACCGAGGCCUGCAUUUGUCUGGUCAAGUUGACAAAUGGAUGCAUGUGCUCGUUGUCAAGAAUUUAGCGGAUAUCCAUCCAAUCCUUUACUUCUUCUCAGAAACGAGAUCAUUUGAAGUACUAGGCCUGGAUGGUAACUUGCUUGGCCUGUCCAGUUGAAUUACCAAUUAUUUGAAUGAGGAGACAUUAAUCUGAAGAUCAAAGAGUGGGGUCGUGCUGCUCUGAACUGCGGAUGAGGUAAAUGAGUUGUCUGCUCAUUUUGUAAUUCUGAAAUCUGGCUCUGACUCCAUGACCCCUAUUUAAUGUGCUACUUAUAAGUCCAGGUUUGUUUGGAUAGGGUAUUAUUUGAAAUAUUAUUUGGAAUAAUUACUGU
Coffea eugenioides is the source of this 2635-nucleotide RNA transcript. RefSeq lists it as uncharacterized. The record is from RefSeq and is a predicted model, not a curated record. The transcript is spliced from 5 exons. NCBI's taxonomy places the organism in Eukaryota, Viridiplantae, Streptophyta, Magnoliopsida, Gentianales, Rubiaceae.